GACGAACGCUGGCGGCGUGCUUAACACAUGCAAGUCGAACGGAAAGGCCCUGCUUUUGUGGGGUGCUCGAGUGGCGAACGGGUGAGUAACACGUGAGUAACCUGCCCUUGACUUUGGGAUAACUUCAGGAAACUGGGGCUAAUACCGGAUAGGAGCUCCUGCUGCAUGGUGGGGGUUGGAAAGUUUCGGCGGUUGGGGAUGGACUCGCGGCUUGUCAGCUUGUUGGUGGGGUAGUGGCUUAACAAGGCUUUGACGGGUAGCCGGCCUGAGAGGGUGACCGGCGAGAUUGGGACGGAGAUACGGCCAAGAGUGCUACGGAGGGGAGCAGUGGGGGAGAGUGCACAAUGGGCGCAAGCCUGAUGCAGCGACGCCGCGUGGGGGAUGACGGCCUUCGGGUUGGAAAAUGAUUUCGCUAGGGACGAAGAGUAAUUGACGGUAACUGAAGAAGAAGCACCGGCUAACUAAGUG
This 468-nucleotide ribosomal RNA is filed under the name uncultured bacterium. RNAcentral describes it as "partial 16S ribosomal RNA". It matches the Rfam family "Bacterial small subunit ribosomal RNA", at positions 28 to 507 of the family's 1533-position model. The record is from RNAcentral.